Drosophila yakuba is the source of this 92-nucleotide non-coding RNA. NCBI's taxonomy places the organism in Eukaryota, Metazoa, Arthropoda, Insecta, Diptera, Drosophilidae. The record is from Rfam.
CGAAUAGUGAAAUGAAGAGAGCUAUCCGUCGACAGUCAAGUUAAUACCAAUUGUAAUACUGUCAUGGAAUUGCUCUCUUUGUAUAAUAUUCG